AUGAACCGGCGAGUUACGAUUUGAUGCAAGGUUAAGCAGUAAAUGUGGAGCCGUAGCGAAAGCGAGUCUGAAUAGGGCGUUUAGUAUUUGGUCGUAGACCCGAAACCAGGUGAUCUACCCUUGGUCAGGUUGAAGUUCAGGUAACACUGAAUGGAGGACCGAACCGACUUACGUUGAAAAGUGAGCGGAUGAACUGAGGGUAGCGGAGAAAUUCCAAUCGAACCUGGAGAUAGCUGGUUCUCUCCGAAAUAGCUUUAGGGCUAGCCUCAAGUGAUGAUUAUUGGAGGUAGAGCACUGUUUGGACGAGGGGCCCCUCUCGGGUUACCGAAUUCAGACAAACUCCGAAUGCCAAUUAAUUUAACUUGGGAGUCAGAACAUGGGUGAUAAGGUCCGUGUUCGAAAGGGAAACAGCCCAGACCACCAGCUAAGGUCCCAAAAUAUAUGUUAAGUGGAAAAGGAUGUGGCGUUGCCCAGACAACUAGGAUGUUGGCUUAGAAGCAGCCAUCAUUUAAAGAGUGCGUAAUAGCUCACUAGUCGAGUGACACUGCGCCGAAAAUGUACCGGGGCUAAACAUAUUACCGAAGCUGUGGAUUGUCCUUUGGACAAUGGUAGGAGAGCGUUCUAAGG
Molecule: ribosomal RNA, 627 nt
Filed under: Staphylococcus aureus
Lineage: Bacteria; Bacillati; Bacillota; Bacilli; Caryophanales; Staphylococcaceae
Description: partial 23S ribosomal RNA
Rfam family: Bacterial large subunit ribosomal RNA
Source: RNAcentral